RNAcentral lists this ribosomal RNA (417 nucleotides) under uncultured microorganism. RNAcentral describes it as "bacterial SSU rRNA". It matches the Rfam family "Bacterial small subunit ribosomal RNA", at positions 9 to 423 of the family's 1533-position model. The record is from RNAcentral.
GAGUUUGAUCGUGGCUCAGAUUGAACGCUGGCGGCAUGCCUUACACAUGCAAGUCGAACGGCAGCAUGAUCUAGCUUGCUAGAUUGAUGGCGAGUGGCGAACGGGUGAGUAAUACAUCGGAACGUGCCCUGUAGUGGGGGAUAACUAGUCGAAAGAUUAGCUAAUACCGCAUACGACCUGAGGGUGAAAGUGGGGGACCGCAAGGCCUCAUGCUAUAGGAGCGGCCGAUGUCUGAUUAGCUAGUUGGUGGGUAAAGGCCCACCAAGGCGACGAUCAGUAGCUGGUCUGAGAGGACGAUCAGCCACACUGGGACUGAGACACGGCCCAGACUCCUACGGGAGGCAGCAGUGGGGAAUUUUGGACAAUGGGCGAAAGCCUGAUCCAGCAAUGCCGCGUGUGUGAAGAAGGCCUCGGUGU